This 4386-nucleotide unclassified non-coding RNA is filed under the name Hevea brasiliensis (rubber tree). Lineage: Eukaryota; Viridiplantae; Streptophyta; Magnoliopsida; Malpighiales; Euphorbiaceae. The record is from RNAcentral.
GCGAGCUUGCCUUUCAGAGAAUGAUGUUUCACUGGAUUUUUAGUACUGAGAUUCUUUCUCAAAGCUGGCAUUGAUUGCCCCUUAUCUUGUGUCUUUAAAGGUUAUAACUUCAUUACAAGCUGAUCUUUUUUCUGGACCCAAUUGUAAACGGAAAGUUCGUUUGAGAUAUAAUGCUCUAGUUCUGAGUUUGUAAAUGGCUGGAAAUGGGAGAUUUAACUUAACUCCAGCUAGCAGUGACUCGGGUUUUGUUGGAAGCUACACCAAUGGGCCUAAGGGGAGCUAUAUGGGUCCCAGUAUGGACAGGUCUGGGAGCUUCAGAGAGAGUUCAGACACCCGUAUAUUUGGUUCUGGGAAGGGUGCAUCCCGGGGAACUGGUGCAGUCGUGGGCGAUUUGCCUUCCCUGUCACAAUGCCUGAUGCUGGAGCCAAUUGUAAUGAGUGACCAAAAAUAUACUCGUUCAGGCGAGUUGAGGAGAAUUUUGGGCUUUACUGUUGGGAGCACUUCAGAAAAUUCUUUUGGUGCUGCUCAUUUGAAGUCUCCACUUCAUUUUGGUGAUGAAUUAAAGAAGUUCAGAGAUAGUGUUGCAGAGUCGUGCAACAAAGCUAGUGGUAGAGCUAAAAAGCUUGACGAACACUUGCAUAAGCUGUCAAAAUAUUCUGAAGGCAUACCUUCUAAGAAACAACAGAGGAAUGAGCAGUUAACAAAUGAGAGAUUAGGUGGUUCAAGAACACAGAUACAUCGAGGCCCUUCAGAUCUUGUAACACAGAAGAUAGAGGAGCGGCUGAAGAAUAGUACUCUUAACAAGCGUGUACGCACAUCAGUGGCAGAAACUCGGGCGGAGUACCGGAAUAGUGCUCUAUCCAGGCAGCCUAUGAUAGUGAAAGAUCGAGACAUGUUAAAAGAUAGCAAUGCCGAUUCUGAUAUGUCCGAAGAAAAGAUUCGCAGAUUGCCAGCUGGAGGUGAAGGUUGGGACAAAAAAAUGAAAAGGAAACGAUCAGUUGGUGCUGUCAUUUCAAGGCCCUUGGAGAAUGAUGGAGAGCCUAAACGAAUGCAGCACCAUAGACUUGCCAGUGAACCUGGCUUGUCACCUUCUGAUUCCCCUGGUUUCAGGUCGGGAAUAUCAAAUGGUGCUGGUAGCAUUAAUAAGUCAGAUGGCUCAUCACUUGCUGGUGUUAAUGCUCGUACAAUGCUUAAAAAUGAACAGGAUAAGUCUGCUCUUUCUAGGGAUCCAACUGCUGGUUUGAAUAAAGAGCGGGUGCUGGGAAAAGGAAGCAUUAAGUUGAAUAGUCAUGAGGAGAACCAUGCUGUCUGUCCCAGUCCAAUAGCAAAAGGGAAGGCCUCAAGGGCACCACGGAGUGGCUCCCUUGCUGCUGCUAAUUCACCCUCUAACAUUCCCCGUUUACCUGGAACCUUGGAAAGCUGGGAACAGCCCCCAAAUGUCAACAAAAAUCUUGCUGUAGGUGGGGUCAAUAAUCGCAAACGUCCAUUACCCACAGGAUCCUCGUCUCCACCCAUAACACAAUGGAUUGGUCAGAGGCCGCAAAAAAUUUCUCGUACAAGGAGGGCUAAUCUUAUCUCACCAGUUUCAAACCAGGACGAGGUGGAGGUGCCAUCAGAGGCAUGUUCACCUUCUGAUUUUGGAGCUAGGUUAACUCCUGGUGUAACAAGUGGUUCUAUUCUUUCAAAGGAUGCCAGCAAUCUUACGCAAAACCUUAAAGUUAAAGCUGAUAGUGUUUUAUCCCCUACCAGACUCUCUGACAGUGAAGAAUCUGGUGCUGGUGAAAGCAGAUUAAAAGAAAAGGGUGGUGUUACUUGUGAAGGUGAAGAAAAACCUGUAAAUACUGUUCAGAGUAAUGGGGUGUCUACCUCACAUAUGAAGAAGAACAAAUUUCUUGUCAAAGGAGAAACAGGUGAUGGCGUGCGUAGACAAGGCCGAAGUGGAAGAGGGUCGGCAUUUUCUAGGAGUAGCAUUUCUCCUACAAGGGAGAAGUUUGAAAAUCAAGUCACAGCGAAACCACUUCGUAACUCGAGGCCGGCUUCUGAAAAGCACGGAAGUAAGUCAGGCCGUCCUUUGAAAAAGCACUUGGAACGCAAAGGGUUUUCUCGUUUUGGGAAUCCUCUGAGCAGUGGUUCUCCUGAUUUCACUGGGGAAUCAGAUGAUGACCGCGAGGAGCUCCUAGCUGCUGCAAACUCGGCAUAUAAUGCAAGUAUUCAUGCAUGUCCAAGUGCAUUCUGGAAGACAGUGGAUAGACUUUUUGCUUCUGUCAGUGCAGAGGAGAAAUCCUACCUUCUGGAACAGCUGAAAUCAGCAGAGGAAUCUCAUGCUAAUCUGUCUCAAACUCUAAAUCGUACCAAUAAUGUUCUGGGUGGUCAUGCUCAUGAUGGAACUUCUGUUUCUGAUUCUCCAUCUGUUGAGAAGAACAGAUGCAUCAAUAAUCAAAAUGGCUCGAAAGUGUCAUCUGAUACAGAACUGGUCGAUCAAUUUCAUGAUUCUAUUCUAAGUGCGAAAGUUGACUCAGAUAGAAUAUUUGACAAAGUUACUCCACUUUACCAAAGAGUACUGUCAGCUCUAAUUGUAGAGGAUGACAUUGAAGAAUGUGAAGAAAAUGGGUUUGACUUAUUUAUGUCACCACAGAAUGGUCCAGAAACUUUAUUGCAUGGUGUCAUUGAUUCUCAGAGUAGAAAAAUGAAUAGGACUGAAGUUGAGUAUGAUACAGUUUUUAGUUCUCAGAUAAAGAAAAAUGGGACUGGUAAUGAGUUUGUUUCCUGCAAUGGGUAUGGUGUGUAUCAUCGAAACCCUGAUGUCCAAGGACCUCAAUACAGUGAUGAGAUGUCACGAGGAAAUAAUGGAUAUUUGCAUUCAGAGGUUGGGCUGUUUGUAGGCCUUUCUGAAUGUGAUACGGAUGUACCUCAAAGGUUGCAGAUUAACAGUUUCGGUAUUUCCUCAUUUGAACGUCAAUAUGCACAGAUGGCUUUUGAUGAUAAACUCUUGCUAGAAUUGCAGAGCAUUGGCCUUUAUAUUGAACCUGUGCCUGGUUUAGAUGAUAAAGAAGAUGAAGUCAUCAACCAGGAAAUUAUGCAGCUGGAGAAGGGACUCUAUCAAGAGAUUGGUAAAAAGAAAACAUAUAUGGAGAAAAUAUCUAAAGCAAUUCAAGAAGGCAAAGACUUGGAAGGAUGGGACCCUGAGCAGAUUGCAAUGAAUAAACUUGUUGAGCUAGCUUACAAAAAGCUCUUGGCGACUCGAGGAACUUUAGCUUCCAAAAAUGGGAUUCCUAAGGUGUCAAAACCGGUUGCAUUGUCUUUUGCAAAGAGAACACUUUCCAGGUGUAGGAAGUUUGAGGAUAGUAGAACUAGUUGCUUUAGCGAGCCAGUGCUCCAUGACAUUAUUUUUGCCGCACCUCCUCGUAUUAAUGAGGCAGAUCUUUUGGCUGGCUCGUGCCCUGUUAGAGCUGAUGGUGUUCUGGUUGAUCCAUAUGAAAGGUUCAAUCAUCAAUCUGAUCAUGCUUUUGCUAAAAAUGGGCCGAUAAUAAAUAGAGGGAGGAAAAAAGUACUGCUUGAUGAUGUUGGCGCUGGUGCUGCUUUCAGAGCCACUUCUACUCUUGGUGGAACUCUUCUAGGUGGUGCCAAAGGAAAGAGAAGCGAAAGAGAUAGGGAUUCUUUAGCGAGAAAUGCAAAUGCAAAAGCUGGGCGUUCACUGGGGAAUUCCAAGGGUGAGCGCAAAACAAAAACAAAGCCCAAACACAAGACAGCUCAGCUUUCUACAUCCGUUAGUGGAUCUUUUAACAAAUUCACGGGGAUCACGACACAUCCAGUUUACCCUUCUGCUAAUGGUUCUGGAGAAUUGGUCAAUGCCAGUGGUAACAGAAAAAGAGAGGGUGAUGUUAAUUCAUCAAUGGAGAGGAAAGAAUCUGCUGACGGCAUGAAUUUGCCACUGAAUGACAUUGAUGCGAUAGAAGAUCUAGGAGUAGAAUCUGAUCUUGGGGCGCCUCAAGAUUUCAAUUCUUGGUUCAACUUUGAUGUUGAUGGUUUGACAGAAGAAAAUGGUGACGGACUUGAAAUACCAAUGGACGACCUUUCUGAGUUAAAUAUGUUUUGACAGUGUGACUGCUCAUUGUACAUUCUUAUGGACUAUUUAACUGUUCAGUAGAGAAAGAUCUUUUGCUUGUUCAAGAAAUGAUAGGUUAAGAGAUCUCUGGCCAAGUAGCACUUGUAAUUAUGGCCAUUUUUGUAUACUUAUUUGAAGGGAAUGCUAGAAAGUCCUCAUUGUUUAAAUUCAGGCAAUGUUUCCUUGUAAACUAAUUAGCAAAGAUUGCAAGGGCAAUUUUGUUUGAUCAUCUUUUGUAGUGUUUCCUGAUCCUUUUCCUAAUUUAUUGCUGUUUUGACAUU